CGUUAGGAAGCUAAAUAGGGUCUAGCAUUAGCCUUUUAAGCUAAAAAUUGGUGCCUCCUAAACACCCCUAACGAC
RNAcentral lists this transfer RNA (75 nucleotides) under Odontobutis platycephala. RNAcentral's name for it is "tRNA-Lys". It matches the Rfam family "tRNA". Rfam says of the family: Transfer RNA (tRNA) molecules are approximately 80 nucleotides in length. The record is from RNAcentral. Lineage: Eukaryota; Metazoa; Chordata; Actinopteri; Gobiiformes; Odontobutidae.